Molecule: long non-coding RNA, 223 nt
Filed under: Capsicum annuum
Lineage: Eukaryota; Viridiplantae; Streptophyta; Magnoliopsida; Solanales; Solanaceae
Description: long non-coding RNA (CANN_LNC014032)
Source: RNAcentral
GGGGACGGGUAUGCAGACUCUGCAAAUCCCUCUAAGGAUACUGUCUGACUCUCUGACAUAACUUGCCACAUCUACUAACACUGCACUAGGGCUUAGGGCCUAAUGCCCUAUCUCUAUUUCCAUCUCUGAAUUAUGGCCCUAGAGCAUUGGCUGAGGGCAGAGCUAGAACUUAGGAUUUUGGGUAGAACUGAGAAUAAUUCUCACCCUCUGACACAGGCUGAGC